RNAcentral lists this ribosomal RNA (301 nucleotides) under uncultured bacterium. RNAcentral describes it as "partial 16S ribosomal RNA". It matches the Rfam family "Bacterial small subunit ribosomal RNA", at positions 509 to 807 of the family's 1533-position model. The record is from RNAcentral.
CAGUCGCCACGGUAAUACGAAGGGUGCAAGCGUUAAUCGGAAUUACUGGGCGUAAAGCGUGCGUAGGCGGUUUGUUAAGUCUGCUGUGAAAUCCCCGGGCUCAACCUGGGAGUGGCAAUGGAUACUGGCGAGCUAGAGUGUGUCAGAGGAUGGUGGAAUUCCCGGUGUAGUGGUGAAAUGCGUAGAGAUCGGGAGGAACAUCAGUGGCGAAGGCGGCCAUCUGGGACAACACUGACGCUGAGGCACGAAAGCGUGGGGAGCAAACAGGAUUAGAUACCCCGGUAGUCCCUGUCUCUUAUAC